GACGAACGCUGGCGGCGUGCUUAACACAUGCAAGUCGAACGCUGAAGCUCAGCUUUUGUUGGGUGGAUGAGUGGCGAACGGGUGAGUAACACGUGAGUAACCUGCCCCCUUCUUUGGGAUAACGCCCGGAAACGGGUGCUAAUACUGGAUAUUCACUUGUCUUCGCAUGGGGGUUGGUGGAAAGGGUUUUUCUGGUGGGGGAUGGGCUCGCGGCCUAUCAGCUUGUUGGUGGGGUGAUGGCCUACCAAGGCUUUGACGGGUAGCCGGCCUGAGAGGGUGACCGGUCACAUUGGGACUGAGAUACGGCCCAGACUCCUACGGGAGGCAGAAGUGGGGAAUAUUGCACAAUGGGCGCAAGCCUGAUGCAGCGACGCCGCGUGAGGGAUGGAGGCCUUCGGGUUGUGAACCUCUUUCGGUCAUGGUCAAGCCGCAACAAUGGUUGUGGUGAGGGUAGUGGGUAAAGAAGCGCCGGCUAACUACGUG
Molecule: ribosomal RNA, 483 nt
Filed under: uncultured bacterium
Lineage: Bacteria
Description: partial 16S ribosomal RNA
Rfam family: Bacterial small subunit ribosomal RNA
Source: RNAcentral